RNAcentral lists this transfer RNA (72 nucleotides) under Caudoviricetes sp. RNAcentral's name for it is "tRNA-Met". It matches the Rfam family "tRNA". Rfam says of the family: Transfer RNA (tRNA) molecules are approximately 80 nucleotides in length. Their secondary structure includes four short double-helical elements and three loops (D, anti-codon, and T loops). The record is from RNAcentral. Lineage: Duplodnaviria; Heunggongvirae; Uroviricota; Caudoviricetes.
GGCGACAUAGCUCAGUGGUAGAGUAGGAGAAUCAUAAACUCUUGGUCGAAGGUUCAAGUCCUUCUGUCGCUA